GAGGGUCUAGCUCAGUGGUAGAGUGUGUGCCACAUGCACGAGGUCCUGGGUUCAAUCCCCAGUACCUCCA
This 70-nucleotide transfer RNA is filed under the name Camelus bactrianus (Bactrian camel). It matches the Rfam family "tRNA". Rfam says of the family: Transfer RNA (tRNA) molecules are approximately 80 nucleotides in length. Their secondary structure includes four short double-helical elements and three loops (D, anti-codon, and T loops). The record is from Rfam by way of RNAcentral. RNAcentral also lists the same sequence under 2 other names. Lineage: Eukaryota; Metazoa; Chordata; Mammalia; Artiodactyla; Camelidae.